GCCAGACUCCUACGGGAGGCAGCAGUAAGGAAUAUUGCGCAAUGGGCGAAAGCCUGACGCAGCGACGCCGCGUGGGGGAUGAAGGUCUUCGGAUUGUAAACCCCUUUCGGGAGGGAAGAUGGAGCGAGCAAUCGUUCGGACGGUACCUCCAGAAGCAGCCACGGCCAACUUCGUGCCAGCAGCCGCGGUAAUACGAAGGUGGCAAGCGUUGUUCGGAUUCACUGGGCGUACAGGGUGUGUAGGCGGUUUGGUAAGCCUUUCUGUUAAAGCUUCGGGCCCAACCCGGAAGCGCAGAGGGUACUGCCAGGCUAGAGGGUGGAGAGGAGCGCGGAAUUCCCGGUGUAGCGGUGAAAUGCGUAGAGAUCGGGAGGAAGGCCGGUGGCGAAGGCGGCGCUCUGGAACAUACCUGACGCUGAGACACGAAAGCGUGGGGAGCAAACAGGAUUAGGAUACCCUGGUAGUCCACGCCCUAAACUAUGGAUACUAAGUGUACGGCGGGUUACCGCCGGUGCCGCAGCUAACGCAUUAAGUAU
This 533-nucleotide ribosomal RNA is filed under the name uncultured bacterium. RNAcentral describes it as "bacterial SSU rRNA". It matches the Rfam family "Bacterial small subunit ribosomal RNA", at positions 330 to 867 of the family's 1533-position model. The record is from RNAcentral.